This 1251-nucleotide ribosomal RNA is filed under the name metagenome. RNAcentral's name for it is "bacterial LSU rRNA". It matches the Rfam family "Bacterial large subunit ribosomal RNA", at positions 1635 to 2875 of the family's 2925-position model. The record is from RNAcentral.
UACACGACCGUACCGCAAACCGACACUGGUGCGCGAGAUGAGUAUUCUAAGGCGCUUGAGAGAACUCAGGAGAAGGAACUCGGCAAAUUGACACCGUAACUUCGGAAGAAGGUGUGCCUUUAGUAGGUGAACCAUUUACUUGGGGAGCCCAAUGAGGCUGCAAAAAAUCGGUGGCUGCAACUGUUUAUUAAAAACACAGCACUCUGCUAAGACGAAAGUCGACGUAUAGGGUGUGACGCCUGCCCGGUGCUGGAAGAUUAAAUGAUGGGGUGCAAGCUCUUGAUUGAAGUCCCAGUAAACGGCGGCCGUAACAAUAACGGUCCUAAGGUAGCGAAAUUCCUUGUCGGGUAAGUUCCGACCUGCACGAAUGGCGUAAUGAUGGCCACACUGUCUCCUCCUGAGACUCAGCGAAGUUGAAAUGUUUGUGAUGAUGCAAUCUCCCCGCGGAAAGACGGAAAGACCCCAUGAACCUUUACUGUAGCUUUGUAUUGGACUUUGAACAGAUCUGUGUAGGAUAGGUGGGAGGCUUUGAAGUGUGGUCGCUAGAUCGCAUGGAGCCAACGUUGAAAUACCACCCUGGUGUGUUUGAGGUUCUAACCUAGGUCCAUUAUCUGGAUCGGGGACAGUGCAUGGUAGGCAGUUUGACUGGGGCGGUCUCCUCCCAAGGUGUAACGGAGGAGUUCGAAGGUACGCUAGGUACGGUCGGACAUCGUGCUAAUAGUGCAAUGGCAUAAGCGUGCUUAACUGCGAGACUGACAAGUCGAGCAGAUGCGAAAGCAGGACAUAGUGAUCCGGUGGUUCUGUAUGGAAGGGCCAUCGCUCAACGGAUAAAAGGUACUCUGGGGAUAACAGGCUGAUACCGCCCAAGAGUUCAUAUCGACGGCGGUGUUUGGCACCUCGAUGUCGGCUCAUCUCAUCCUGGGGCUGUAGCCGGUCCCAAGGGUAUGGCUGUUCGCCAUUUAAAGAGGUACGUGAGCUGGGUUUAAAACGUCGUGAGACAGUUUGGUCCCUAUCUUCCGUGGGCGCUGCAGAUUUGAGGAAGCCUGCUCCUAGUACGAGAGGACCGGAGUGGACGAACCUCUGGUGUAUCGGUUGUCACGCCAGUGGCAUUGCCGAGUAGCUAAGUUCGGAAGAGAUAACCGCUGAAAGCAUCUAAGCGGGAAACUCGUUUCAAGAUUAGAUCUGCCGGGGCCUUGAGCCCCCUAAAGAGUCGUUCAAGACCAGGACGUUGAUAGGUCAGGUGUGGAAGUG